UGCAGCCAUGUCAAAUUCGGUCCCUGCGUACCCUGUGGUGCCUCGUGGUGGGAACCAGCUCUGCGACUGCCACAUCACAACUGUAGUUCAUGGGCCCCUGGUUCGCGUAGUUCGCGUAGACAUGUAUAGGGUCUGGACAGAUACGC
This is a small nucleolar RNA of Pantherophis guttatus, 146 nucleotides long. RefSeq annotates it as small nucleolar RNA SNORA5. NCBI's taxonomy places the organism in Eukaryota, Metazoa, Chordata, Lepidosauria, Squamata, Colubridae. The record is from RefSeq and is a predicted model, not a curated record.